This 1949-nucleotide ribosomal RNA is filed under the name Corynebacterium sp. HMSC077B05. Its description in RNAcentral is "bacterial LSU rRNA". It matches the Rfam family "Bacterial large subunit ribosomal RNA", at positions 1 to 1795 of the family's 2925-position model. The record is from RNAcentral. Lineage: Bacteria; Bacillati; Actinomycetota; Actinomycetes; Mycobacteriales; Corynebacteriaceae.
UGUUCGUUACUAAGGGCGCAUGGUGGAUGCCUUGGCAUGCUGAGCCGAUGAAGGACGUGUAAGGCUGCGUUAAGCCUCGGGGAGUUGUCAAUUGAGCGUUGAUCCGAGGAUGUCCGAAUGGGGAAACCUGGCCACCGUUAUGGGUGGUUACCCUUCAGUGAAUUCAUAGCUGUUGUGGGGGUUACGCGGGGAAGUGAAACAUCUCAGUACCCGUAGGAAGAGAAAAUAAUAAUGAUUCUGCUAGUAGUGGCGAACGAACGUGGAUGAGGCUAAACCGUGUGCAUGUGAUACCUGGUAGGGGUUGUGUGUGCGGUGUUGUGGGCCCUAACAGGCAGUAGCUACCGAUACUGUGCUUGGUUGUUGUUGAUAGGUGAAGUGGUGUGGAAACGCCUACCGUAGAGGGUGAUAGUCCCGUAAUUGAAGUCUUCAAUUUCUAAGUUGUUGGGUUGCCCGAGUAGCAGCGGGCUCGUGGAAUCUGCUGUGAAUCUGCCGGGACCAUCCGGUAAGCCUAAAUACUCAGUGUGACCGAUAGUGGAUGAGUACCGUGAGGGAAUGGUGAAAAGUACCCCGGGAGGGGAGUGAAAUAGUUCCUGAAACCAUGUGCUUACAAUCCGUCAGAGCACCUGUAUGUGUGUGAUGGCGUGCCUUUUGAAGAAUGAGCCUGCGAGUCAGCGGCAUGUCGCGAGGUUAACCCGUGUGGGGUAGCCGUAGGGAAACCGAAUCCUAAUGGGGUGAUUUUUAGUGGCAUGUCCUGGACCCGAAGCGGGGUGAUCUACCCAUGGCCAGUGUGAAGCAGCUGUAAGAGGUUGUGGAGGCGCGAACCCACGUAGGUUGAAAACUGCGGGGAUGAGCUGUGGGUAGGGGUGAAAGGCCAAUCAAACUCCGUGAUAGCUGGUUCUCCCCGAAAUGCAUUUAGGUGCAGCGUCGCAUUAGCUUGGUGGAGGUAGAGCUACUGGUUGGUUGAGCGGGACUACAAUCUUAGCAAUGUCAGCCAAACUCCGAAUGCCAUUAAUGUGUUGUGCGGCAGUGAGACUGUGGGGGAUAAGCUUCAUAGUCGAGAGGGAAACAGCCCAGAUCGCCGGUUAAGGCCCCUAAGGGUGUGCUAAGUGGAAAAGGAUGUGGGAUCGCGAAGACAGCCAGGAGGUUGGCUUAGAAGCAGCCAUCCUUGAAAGAGUGCGUAAUAGCUCACUGGUCGAGUGGUUUCGCGCCGACAAUGUAGUGGGGCUCAAGCACACCGCCGAAGCCGCGGCAAUACUUUUGUUAUUGGGUAGGGGAGCGUCGUGCAUGUUGUGAAGCGUUACCGUAAGGCGGCGUGGAGUAUGUGCGAGUGAGAAUGCAGGCAUGAGUAACGAAUUGGUAGGUGAGAAUCCUACCCGCCGGAUGACUAAGGGUUCCUGGGUCAAGUUCGUCUUCCCAGGGUGAGUCGGGACCUAAGGCGAGGCCGACAGGCGUAGUCGAUGGAUAACCAGUUGAUAUUCUGGUACCCGUAUACAUGCGCCCCUGAUAAAGCACUGAUACUAACCACCGCGGAUACGACACUUAACUAACUUUGUUGGUUGGUGUUGUUGAUGUCGUGGGGCCUGAUGUGUGGUUCAAGCGAUGGGGUGACACAGUGGGGUAGCCAAGCCGCUUAAUGGAUUGUUGGUGUAAGCGUGUAGCCGGAGGCAUAGGUAAAUCCGUGCCUUAAUUGAAGGUGAGACGUGAUGCGUAGCCCGAUUGGGGUGAAGUUGGUGAUCCCGUGCUGUCGAGAAAAGCCUCUAGCGAUGUAUGUAUAUGGCCCGUACCCUAAACCGACACAGGUAGUCAGGUUGAAAAUACUAAGGCGUUCGGGUGAACUGUGGUUAAGGAACUCGGCAAAAUGCCCCCGUAACUUCGGGAGAAGGGGGACCACAUACCGUGACAAGUCCUUGCGGCUUGAAGCGGUGUGGGGUCGCAGAGAAUAGAGGGAA